GACGUAGGGCGCGAGCGUUGUCCGGAUUUAUUGGGCGUAAAGAGCUCGUAGGCGGCUUGUCGCGUCGACUGUGAAAACCCGCGGCUCAACUGUGGGCUUGCAGUCGAUACGGGCAGGCUGGAGUUCGGUAGGGGAGACUGGAAUUCCUGGUGUAGCGGUGAAAUGCGCAGAUAUCAGGAGGAACACCGGUGGCGAAGGCGGAUCUCUGGGCCUGUCCUGACGCUGAGGCGCGAAAGCUAGGGGAGCGAACAGG
This 253-nucleotide ribosomal RNA is filed under the name uncultured bacterium. Its description in RNAcentral is "partial 16S ribosomal RNA". It matches the Rfam family "Bacterial small subunit ribosomal RNA", at positions 524 to 776 of the family's 1533-position model. The record is from RNAcentral.